GAGGAGCCCGAAGACAGGUGCUGCAUGGCUGUCGUCAGCUCGUGUCGUGAGAUGUUGGGUUAAGUCCCGCAACGAGCGCAACCCUUAUCUUCAGUUACCAUCAUUCAGUUGGGGACUCUGGAGAUACUGCCCCGGUUAACGGGGAGGAAGGUGGGGAUGACGUCAAGUCCUCAUGGCCUUUAUAUCCAGGGCUACACACGUGCUACAAUGGUCCGUACAAAGGGUUGCGAGCCUGCGAGGGUGAGCUAAUCCCGUAAAGCGGAUCUCAGUUCGGAUUGGAGUCUGCAACUCGACUUCAUGAAGUUGGAAUCGCUAGUAAUCGUGGAUCAGCAUGCCACGGUGAAUACGUUCCCGGGCCUU
This 360-nucleotide ribosomal RNA is filed under the name uncultured Desulfobacterium sp. RNAcentral's name for it is "bacterial SSU rRNA". It matches the Rfam family "Bacterial small subunit ribosomal RNA", at positions 1021 to 1382 of the family's 1533-position model. Lineage: Bacteria; Pseudomonadati; Thermodesulfobacteriota; Desulfobacteria; Desulfobacterales; Desulfobacteriaceae. The record is from RNAcentral.